This 73-nucleotide ribosomal RNA is filed under the name Staphylococcus hyicus. RNAcentral's name for it is "partial 16S ribosomal RNA". It matches the Rfam family "Bacterial small subunit ribosomal RNA", at positions 1 to 71 of the family's 1533-position model. Lineage: Bacteria; Bacillati; Bacillota; Bacilli; Caryophanales; Staphylococcaceae. RNAcentral also lists the same sequence under 2 other names. The record is from RNAcentral.
CUUUUAUGGAGAGUUUGAUCCUGGCUCAGGAUGAACGCUGGCGGCGUGCCUAAUACAUGCAAGUCGAGCGAAC